This 610-nucleotide ribosomal RNA is filed under the name marine metagenome. RNAcentral describes it as "bacterial SSU rRNA". It matches the Rfam family "Archaeal small subunit ribosomal RNA", at positions 592 to 1199 of the family's 1478-position model. The record is from RNAcentral.
CUAGGGAGUGGGAGAGGUAGACGGUACUCGGUAGGAAGGGGUAAAAUCCUUUGAUCUAUUGAUGACCACCUGUGGCGAAGGCGGUCUACCAGAACACGUUCGACGGUGAGGGAUGAAAGCUGGGGGAGCAAACCGGAUUAGAUACCCGGGUAGUCCCAGCUGUAAACGAUGCAAACUCGAUGAUGCGUUGGCUUGUUGCUAGCGCAGUGUCGCAGGGAAGCCGUUAAGUUUGCCGCCUGGGAAGUACGUACGCAAGUAUGAAACUUAAAGGAAUUGGCGGGGGAGCACCACAAGGGGUGAAGCCUGCGGUUCAAUUGGAGUCAACGCCAGAAAUCUUACCCGGAGAGACAGCAGAAUGAAGGUCAAGCUGAAGACUUUACCAGACAAGCUGAGAGGUGGUGCAUGGCCGUCGCCAGCUCGUGCCGUGAGAUGUCCUGUUAAGUCAGGUAACGAGCGAGAUCCCUGCCUCUAGUUGCCACCAUUACUCUCAGGAGUAGUGGGGCGAAUUAGCGGGACCGCCGCAGUUAAUGCGGAGGAAGGAAGGGGCCACGGCAGGUCAGUAUGCCCCGAAACUCUGGGGCCACACGCGGGCUGCAAUGGUAACGACAAU